Molecule: long non-coding RNA, 603 nt
Filed under: Cricetulus griseus (Chinese hamster)
Lineage: Eukaryota; Metazoa; Chordata; Mammalia; Rodentia; Cricetidae
Description: lncRNA (ENSCGRG00015035984.1)
Source: RNAcentral
AAAGGAGCUGUCCUGGAGAGCUGACAUCGCUCACCCAUGCCCCUGCAAAGCUCUCUACCUACGCUUCCCCACUUUGCUUUUUCCAGCAAUUCAGACAAGCAAUCUCAUAAAGUGUUGGGGCUGCCUUUAGGUUGUAGUUAAAAAUUUCCAGCAGAUUGGUCACACAUCCUAUGAUAAACAAUAGCCUCCUAUGAGCUGUGAUAUCUUACGUUUGCAAGCCAGUGUGUGCAUGUGUGUGGAAAAAAAUCACCGGUUAUGCUGAGCAACGCUGCCCGACCACAGGGCCAUUUCUGCAGAAUUCUCUUUCCUGGGGCCAUCCCCCUUCAGAUAUCAGGUGUGGGUGGUUUCAACCCAUUGGAGCCACAGACUCCUGUGACCACGUCUGCACUGAGAUGUCACUCAGGAAAGGCCAAGAUCCUUGUUGUUUGAAUAAUCUUUCAUGACAUCUCCCAGCCAACCACUUGGGCAAAUCAUAUUCAUGGUGAGUUCUGCUGGCCUGGAGAUGAGAAGACAAAAGACCAAGGCCUGGCUGCCUCUACAGGGAUGCAGAACUAAGCUUCUCUCCACUCCUUACUGCACUGUUUGAGCUGGUUGGGUUUUCUG